Long non-coding RNA from Ornithodoros turicata, 6286 nucleotides. RefSeq lists it as uncharacterized. NCBI's taxonomy places the organism in Eukaryota, Metazoa, Arthropoda, Arachnida, Ixodida, Argasidae. The record is from RefSeq and is a predicted model, not a curated record. The transcript has 2 exons.
GUUUGAGGUAUGCGGCUGCAUUCCAGAAGUUACUCGGGUCGACACAACACACAUCAGAUUGUUGCAUGUGAAGGUCGAAAGCUACUCCUAUGUGUUUUAGAGCUAGCUGCGGACCAGUACAGCGUCACUGUUUCUGAGAAUGCGCGGUAUAUACUCCGAAUUCAUGGCGUUAAUGCUUUACGAACACACGCAGAUGACCCCAUACUGAUGUAAACACCGUCACACUAAAGCGAAGCAGUGACCAGUGGUUCUGAUGUCUCGCAGCCCAAAUGUCACUGUCGUCUGCUGUUGCCAUGUCGAGAAUCGUACUUGCGCCCGUUCCACAACCUACCCGAGGGUUUUCCUACUCUCAGGGUCCCAUGGUACAACACUGACAUCUGGCCCACUCCUACUCGAGAGUUGUGGAAUGCAGCUGGUUUAUUCACAUGACGUCAUCCACAUGGCGCCCGCCACUUCCGCUAGCAGGCUUGCCAUCAUAAUGUAGAUCCACAGAUUUUGACUGCCCAGGCCUUCACCCACAUCACGUUCACCUCCUAUUAAUAGCAUGAAGGCGGCGAACGACACAGGAACCACGCUUCGAGGGACAUACAUCAUGGCAACAAUUUCGGCUUUUCGAAGCCAGUGCUCUCUGGGGGAGUGACGUCAGUGAAUAGACCCUAUAGACCAUCUGCCCCGUGGGCGCCGCCACAUUGAAAGUGCAGCACCGUCUAGCCUGGGGAGCAUGUUGAAAACUGUUCAUCUUUUCCACCGCUCAAGCCAGAUGGAAGGAAAGCAUACAGGCCGUAUUCUUCCUCCUUGGUAUCGUUUUUCUGCCGGCUAGCUUGGGCAGAUUGCAAAAGCGCUGGGUGUGAGUUUGGUUGGGAAACAGUGUAUACAACGAACCUCACACACAGUGCUUUUGCAAUCUGCAAAAGCAAGCUGGCACCUGGAUUAAAUCAGAUGGCACUUGGAGUAAUAUGGGCGGGAAAACCUGUAGUAGGGUGCCGUUCAUUGUGUAGGAUACAGACUUUAAGCUUUUCUCUAAAACCAUGAAUUUUGCAUUCCAAAACUGUAAUUCACAUACGUAAGGCUCUCGGUGCUGAAAGCCACGAUUUAUUUCCAAUUGCAGCUUGAAAUGAUCCAAACCCUUCGACAAUAAUCUUUGACCUUUCCUUUGCGAAGUUUCGCUAGCAAAGUAUAGCAGCCGCUCGUAAUGUCACGAUGAAUGCUCUCCCAGUAUGCGCACAGUACCUCUGUUCAGAAGCGAAAUAACCCAUACUUUAUCUGGAAACCCCUGUUCAACGAGUUGCCACUAUCGAUCAAAGCCGAAUUCAAGUGAUAUAGAAAGAAAGGAGAUUCAGCAAAUCUGUCCUUCUGCCAAUGCUCACGCUUUCAAGAAAUGAGUGUAGAAGCAGGUACGUGCCUCGACGGUGGAACGCAUAUUUAAUAAUCAUUAAUUAAUGAAAACACUUAACAUGCACACAUGAGAACAGGUCAUUUGGAACGGGGAACAUUUAACAAUGCAAAAAUUUAUGAAGGCACAGCUCACGUCAACUUCAAUAAUACCACCGGAAAAAAUGUGGUCUCGUUCCCGAGCGAGAUUACAGCGCCCCCAGGGGCCAUGAGGAAAUCUUAGUUGAACAAAACUGUUCUGUUAAUUUAACAUUCCCCAGUGCCCCCAGGAUGGUGGUUAUUGCGCUCGCAAAUCAGACCGAAUUCUUUCCAGUGUUAUUAUUAAGGUUGACCGGAGCUGUACUGUAUUCCUUUCCAGUAGAAUCAGGCACACCUCCACAAAGCCAGCUUUGAGAGCUUGCACAACUUUUGUGUUUUGUUUUAAUUUUUCUUGAGCUGCUUGCAAUACUGUCGCAUUCGUAUUGCAACAUAGCAAUGCAGCACCUGCGCCGUUAUGUCCACUUUGCAUUAAUCGCGAGGGAGUGUCAAGUUGUCGUCUGGUAUGUAGUCAAUUACCAAAUCAUACGCUUGCUUAUCAGAAGCACUUUAACGAAAGUUUUGUUCUGCCUCUUUCAGAAGAGAGAACACGGCAAUAUUUGGAUGCACAAGUCCACCUUGUGUCUUGCACAAUAGAAGGGCCAGGUCUUGCAGUAUCCCUAGCACCUGUCAUAGUGAACAGUUGGUGGUUUUAAGGAUUCUUUGGCGCACACACCCAGUUACAUAAUAAAUUAUACAGUCGGUUACGCUGCUCAGUGCAGGUGCACCAUCAAAUACGGUCUCACAUUCAGUCUCGAUUUCCACAAGGCUAUCAAGCUUCCAUUUUUGUUGCUCCAAUCUAGAAUGGGAGGGUUUGUCUUCCUGAAAUGGCAGUGUCGAUCAGACAUGCUCAUCAGAUGUGGCUCUUCAGUUUAAUGAAUUUCAUAGUUACCAUAUUUAGGUGGUUUCACAAGACUGUAAAUAGAGAGCAUGUUGUACAGCUGCAAAAAAGUGGGCAAACAGGGAUGUUCAUUCUGGCCACCUGCUUGACAUAUGAUGCAAAAAUUUUCUUUUCAAGAACAUCUUGCAUUCUGCGUCUCUUAAGGCCGUUAACACUCACCUUGACACACUUGAUGGCUCGCACACACAGCAAAAUACAGAAAUACGUCAACUGAAGAUCCAGCUUAAUGAGCUUGACCAAUAUGGGCGUCGCAAUAAUGUUGAAAUUCGCGGGGUUCCAGCUUCGGUGGGGGAAGACCUACUUAAAGUUGUGAAUGAAAUCGCCCUUGAACUACAACUUCCCAUCUUAACAGCAUCAGACUACGAAGCGAUCCACAGAUUACCAUCGAAGUCAAGCGACGGUAUGCCUCCUAUAAUUGUAAGAUUUCUUGACAGAAAGAUACGCGACGCUUGGCUUGGUCGGAAGAGUAGACUAAAAUCUACAUCACAAUCUAGUACGGUUUUCUUGUGCGAAAAUCUGACAUCUGAAAACAAGAAACUUCUGUGGCAGACUCGGCUAUCAGCCAAAGAAAAAGGCUAUCAGUUUGUUUGGGUGAAGAAUGGGCGUAUUUUUGUGAGGCGUGCAGAUGGUACGAAUGCCAUUCGAAUUUCACACGCCGAUAACCUCACGACACUGUAGAGCGCUGCCUUGCGGCAACUUUGCUGGUACCUUUUGUGUUGCUUCAGGUGUUUAUUGUACUCUUUCUUUUUACCUUCGAACUUUCAUUGAUGACCUUUGUUGCAUUGGAAGACUUGCCUGAUGCUGAUGUGCAUGACUCGCUUACGCUGCAUCUCAAUGUAAGAAGCCGUCCCCAGCACAUUGACGAAGUAAAAUCUGUCAUUACUGCUUUAAAUAGCAAGGUGUCUUUCCUGGGCCUAUCAGAAACAUGGACUCAAAAAUCACAUGAAUCAUUCCUUGAGAUUGAAGGAUUUAAAGCCGAAUUCCGUCAUAGGUGUGAUGGCUACGGCGGUGUCGCGCUUUAUGUUAAUCACAAUAUUUGUUAUUCUGUGAGACAUGACUUGCAUAUUAAUCAAAUUUCGAUACAAAGUGUUUUCAUUGAAAUCCCCAUGUGCCCCGUCUCUGUGUGUUCUUACCCAGGCCGCCCACUGAUCAUUGGCGUUAUCUACAGGUCCCCGAGUAAUGACCUUUGUGCAUUUUUAAGUGACUUUACUGAACUAUUACAUACACUAUGGUCAUCCAAAUAUAACUGCAUUAUCCUUGGUGAUUUUAAUGUGGAUCUAUUGAAAAAUGACGCUGCGUGUAUCUCGUACACUGAAACGUUCACUGCAUUUGGAUUCGCGCAGCUGAUUUCCAACGUAACCCGUUUCAACCAGGAUGGAGGGUCAUUAAUUGACCACGUGAUCACCAACAUUAUUGACUCCAAACUAACUUACGGAGUUGCUGCAUGCGACAUUUCAGACCAUGAAAUUAUUUACAUUGGUGGUUGCUGUGAAAAAGCGGAAUUAGCCGGACAUCAGAUACGCAGCCAUGUGAACUACAAAGCUAUUGAAAGAUCCCUUUCGCAAAUGAUGUGGGGCUUUCAUCGCUUUUCAAAUGUGCGUGAAAAGUUUAGCUUCUUUAUCUCCACUAUUUCCGACGUAAUUAAGCAGUAUUCUACUCAAACCAUAUCUAGUCGGCGCACAGCUGUGAGGCAGCCUUGGAUUACGAAGGCAAUCCUAAGGAGCAUUAAGCACAAAAACAGCAUGUAUAGGAAACUUCGCUUGAACCCGCUAAACACACGUCUUCGUGCUAGAUAUUCUAGGUACAGUAACGUGCUUAGAGAUACCUUGAGGCUUGCAAAGCGAAACUACUUUUCUUCAGCUAUAGACAGCUCUGCUGGUGACCCCAAAUUGAUAUGGCGGACAAUAAACACUGCGCUAUCAAGAAAGCUUAAUGUAACUCCCACUGGUGCGCGCCGGCUAACGCAGAACGGAACGUCUACUACAAACCCGAAGGAAAUUGCAAAUCAGUUCAAUAACUAUUUUUGUAACGUCGCAACUCGUCUUUGUCCGCCUGUAGACCCACUUCCAGCGGCCCCUAUGCCUGCUCGAAAUGACACUUCUUUUUUCUUGACACCGACAGACCGUUCUGAAGUCAUUUCUGUUAUUAACGGGCUGAAACCGCUUAAGUCAUCCGGACAUGACAACAUUUCUCCCAUUUUUCUCAAAAGGUUUUGUAACUAUCUCGCUGAUCCUCUUUCGGAGCUAUUUAACGAAAUAUUCACUGAAGGUAUUUAUCCCCAAGAAUUAAAGACUGCUAAGGUGUUACCUAUCUUUAAAAGUGGGGAUCGUACCGACACUUCCAACUAUCGACCCAUUUCGUUGCUCUCAGCCGUCAGUAAGGUUCUUGAGAAACUUAUCCUACGUCGACUAGAGAGCUUUUUCGAUUUGAACAAGCUGCUUUCUCCAUCUCAAUUUGGUUUCCGCAAAAAUAAGUCCACCAUUAGCGCACUGAUUUAUGCCACAGAAAAGAUCAGAAUGAACAUUGAAGAGAAACUUUUAACUAUAGGUAUUUUCGUCGACCUCCCUAAAGCUUUUGACUUAAUCAAUCACAAAAUUCUACUACAGAAGCUGGAGCGCUAUGGCGUUAGAGGAACACCAUUACAAUUAUUACAGAGCUUCCUGUGCAACAGGGAUCAAUUCGUUAUCCAGGAUGAGAGCUGCUCUGAUGUUGGGUCUAUAGGAGCGGGUGUGCCUCAGGGUUCGAUUCUGGGUCCGUUCUUAUUUCUCGUUUACAUUAACGAUCUACCUAAUCACCUUUCUACCAGCUGUUUUCUCUACGCGGAUGACACCAACAUAUUCAUAGAAUCUGAUAAUCUUUCAUCUCUAUUCUCUAAAGCAAACAGUGUCCUUGACAGGUACCGCUACUGGCUACUGUGUAACAGAUUAGUUAUUAACCUGGAGAAGACAUCAUAUAUCGUCUUUCACCCUCCUCAGAAGCGUCUUGACGUUAGUGACAAACAACUUCACUUCGGGAACUAUGCUCUUACACGUGUUGCUUCAGUGCGCUUUUUAGGUGUAAUUCUACAUGAACAUCUAAACUGGCAGCCACAUAUCACUUCGGUCCGUAACAAAAUAUCUGGAGGGCUUUACGCACUUUCAAAACUACGGCACUUAGUUCCGACCUCAAUACUCCUGAACGUUUACUAUGCGCUGGUGCACUCGCAUAUAAACUACGGCCUCGAGGUAUAUGGCCUGACGUACACUUCUCAUCUUCGUCCCUUACUCGUAGCCCAGAAGCGAGCCCUGAGAAUUAUGCUUUCUUUGAACCCCCGGGACCAUGUGUCAUUUGCGUUUCCUCUACUCUCUGUGCUUAACAUCUUCGACCUCCUGAAAUAUAAGAUGUCACUAUUGAUGCAUACUUUUUUCUAUGGGACAGCCGACCGAUUCGAACUGCAGCUGCACAUUCCUCCCACAUCUUACUCCCUUAGGAGUCUACAACUUUCUCUCUACAGCCCCACCUUCCGCACUAACCUUGGAUUCUUCUCUGUUUCUGCUUUUGGCACUCGUCUGUGGAACGAGCUUCCUAUUGCCAUACGAUCCAUCGAUAAGUAUGCAGCGUUCAAACACUCUUGCCGAGCCUAUUUUCGAGGCAGUUAUGUUGAUCCUUGUGUUUAAAAAUGUAUAAUCAUGCAUAGGUUAUGUACAUAUCCGUUACCUUUUGCAGUUUCUGUGUCUUCUCUUUUUUUUCUUUUUUUUCUUCGAGGUAUGUUAUCUAAUAAUUUAUGUAUGCAUUUUGUUUUCUCUGCUUCCCGCAAGUCAUUUGUGUAAAAUUAUGCACGUGGGUAUAAGGACCGUUUUACAGGGUUCGCCCUCACGGUCCUCUUGUACUUUGUAAUCGUACAUUCCACUAAUAAAGGAAUCUUGAAUCUUGGUUGAA